CUUGUUUAUAAUAGCUGUUUUGGCUGUUGUAUGUGGGCUGCUUUUAGCUGCAUUGAUCGCCUCAGUAAUACGCCAGCACCGAAAAAGACAAAACAUAAAGAAAUCGUCAGAUACAGGGACAGAACAAUCCAACCCGGACACCGGAUAUACAUCUAUUACUCAUCGUCCAGAGGAGACUCCCCACGUCUAUGAAAUGGUUGUUACCUAAACCAAAGUUCACCAAAUUCAUCAGUGGAUUCCAAUCAUUCAAUAUAUGUGUACUAUCUAAUUUUACAUACAGCCACAAACCCAUGGUGUCAGUACAAACCAAGCCAGAAACAAGCUUCCGUUGUGUUGCCAUAUCAGAUCGUGCCAAAAUGUUUUCCUUGGCUGAUAUGCUUAAAUCUGAAUCAAGCUCUGCUGUCAUGCGUCGACUCAUACAGUAAUAUUUGGAAGUGUAUAUUUCAUUUUCGGACAUAUGUGAUACAAUGCUUUCACAUUAGUUUAAAUCUGUUUUAUCAUCGUCUAAGUACGGCGUAUCAGUGUGUGGGCUCAUUUGUAUUGAAAUCGAGCUUUCCCAAACGAAAGUAUGACUUAUGUUACUUUGAUGACGCUUUCUUAUGACAUUUUAAAAGUGUUUUUUUUAAACUUAUUUUAUCUCUAGCGUGGCUCGAUAUAGCAAAAUGUACUAAUACACCGCCUUAUUAUUGUGCGUGAAUCAAAUGUUGGUUACACAAGAAACGCAUGAUUUCCAAUUGACAAUACAUACGCACUAACCACACGCAUGCAUGUCGCACGCACGGGAGACCGUCCUUAAAUGAUCUUAGCUGUUGAUAAGACGUUAACAAAUACAGCCAAACCAAACCUUUUCUUAUUGAUGUAACAGCUGAAGUGGUUCAGGAGACAGUUAUCCAAUAAUAUUUAUAAAGAGACGGAAGAUUAGAAUCCUGGAUGAUUGAAACAUCACUUCAGCUUUCUAGCCAUCAUUGUGGUGUCCUCAAAACACACAUUUAUCACAUUUCAUGACGACUCGGGGGGACGUACUUAUUGGAUGGACCAGUGAUGUUACUAGGACAUUACACAAAAUAAAUCAAACAACCGUUUGGUAUAUAAACUAGUAUAGGCAAAUAUUGGCUCAGUUUAGACGAGUGCUUCAAUGUCGAAUUUCGUGAGUUUAAGUAAUUUAUAGAUACCUACAUAUACUAUGUGUUGAAGGAUACUGCAGUAACUAAAGCAAUGCUACACACAUACAACUUGUACCAUUGAAAUAAUGUAAAGGUACAUCUAGGUGGAACACAUGCUUUCUGAAUAAUUGGACCGGUGUGAACUAACUUGUAUCAUCAUUGCUGGAAUAGCAUGCACAUGUCAUUGUCAUAUGAUUCUAGAAAUUAACAAUGACUAUUUAGCUAAGCCUCUCGGAAAGAAUCUGUAUUAGAAAUGUGUUAAAUGUGUUUUUCACAGUUCCAUAAAAAGUGAUGUUUCAAGUGAAAUGGGCUGGUUACAUAUAUCGGAUGCCUAACCUUCAGUAGGGAAUUUUAAUUUAAACCAGGUGCCUCCUUCGACCACCAAACCCGCCUAGUGAGCGUGUUAAACAUUUUAUAUUUACAAUGCCUUCAGACACUACCUUGUAAAUAUAUGUAUAUCUAAAAUUGUGCUGUUCUUUUUUUACUUUUUGUACCUUGUAAAUGUAUAUAUAUAUAUAUAUAUCCAAAAUUUUGUUGUACUCAUUUGAGUAGUCAGAAAACUGUAUGUAGUAUAAUGAAAUAUCCAGUUUUCACAUGAUUGUUGAGAUUUCCUGGUUAAUAAACAUAACAAUCUAUUGCAAAUUCAAGGUAGCAUGUAUUUAUUUACCUUAAUAUCUCGCGCCGAGUAUUCUACCAAAUUAAAAAAAAACAAGUACUACGGAGUAAAUAAAAUGUUCAUUUUAUUUUAUACAGCCACAAUAUACAUAUCAUGUUUGUUAAUUUAUUUUAUCGUAGUUUUCUUUGGUCACAUGGGUAGCAAAAUACCAAGUUAUUCAGCUUACACAUAAUCGAAAGAACAGCUUGUACAAGACCUGUCUUAUGCUAGGCGUUUUCAUCUCGCACACAAAGCUGAAGAAAUAUAAUUUCAACUUAGGUAACGAAGUUUUCAAGUGUCACUUCAAAUUCAGGAUUAGAGCAUAUGAGAUAUCAUACCUGUUACAUUUGGCUAAGAUCACGUCAUCGAAAAUGAUACGACACGACUUUGAUCUACAUUAUCAAUUUCCGAUUUUUUUCUG
This is a long non-coding RNA of Pecten maximus, 2239 nucleotides long. RefSeq lists it as uncharacterized. The record is from RefSeq and is a predicted model, not a curated record. Lineage: Eukaryota; Metazoa; Mollusca; Bivalvia; Pectinida; Pectinidae. The transcript is spliced from 3 exons.